Molecule: ribosomal RNA, 253 nt
Filed under: uncultured bacterium
Lineage: Bacteria
Description: partial 16S ribosomal RNA
Rfam family: Bacterial small subunit ribosomal RNA
Source: RNAcentral
UACGAAGGGGGCUAGCGUUGCUCGGAAUCACUGGGCGUAAAGCGCACGUAGGCGGGUUCUUAAGUCAGGGGUGAAAUCCUGGAGCUCAACUCCAGAACUGCCUUUGAUACUGGGAAUCUCGAGUCCGGGAGAGGUGAGUGGAACUGCGAGUGUAGAGGUGAAAUUCGUAGAUAUUCGCAAGAACACCAGUGGCGAAGGCGGCUCACUGGCCCGGUACUGACGCUGAGGUGCGAAAGCGUGGGGAGCAAACGGG